UACAGAGGUCUCAAGCGUUGUUCGGAAUCACUGGGCGUAAAGGGUGCGUAGGCUGCGUGGAAAGUCGGAUGUGAAAUCCGGGGGCUCAACCUCCGAAUUGCAUACGAUACUGCUGCGCUAGAGUUCUCAAGGGGGGUCUGGAAUUCUCGGUGUAGCAGUGAAAUGCGUAGAUAUCGAGAGGAACACUAGUAGCGAAGGCGAGACCCUGGGGAGAUACUGACGCUGAGGCACGAAGGCUAGGGUAGCAAACGGG
Molecule: ribosomal RNA, 253 nt
Filed under: uncultured bacterium
Lineage: Bacteria
Description: partial 16S ribosomal RNA
Rfam family: Bacterial small subunit ribosomal RNA
Source: RNAcentral